GGUGUACUUGCUGCAGCAUAUGGAGGACUAUUGCUACCAGUUCAUCUAGCCUCCUGUGAACCCGUCGCAUCAUCAAUUGCAACACUCAACCAGCUGCCUAUUGAGAGAACCAAGUUAAGACCAUGGUUAGAGUCUCUGACGUUGCUCGUUAGAGCAAUGCUGGAUGUAACCAAAUGUAUAAUUAAAUUUGAAAGACUUCCAAUUAAACAAGUGCAGCUAGACAACAACAUUGUGGAUAAAACCUUGUUUAAUGUUUAUUUGGCUACUUACCGGGUAGUCAAAAGUGUGCUUGCAUGCCUGCAGCAAAUCCCUUAUUUCAAGCAAACCCAGCAGGUGCAUUUUAUCCACCCUUCUUUUAUCUCCCUUGAAAAAUUAAAUUGGAAGAGCCGCAGAGAAAUAGUUUAGCAUAUUAGUAGUCAACAUGUAGGUUUCUCAUGGCAAGGAAUUCUCUGAUAUACUUAGGCAACAGAAACAAGAAAAUCAGCCCAUGAACUUUCAACGGAAUCAAGAAGAGCAGCAGGAGAACUUUCUAGUUUGGGAUAUCAGUUGCUCAACUUACAUACCCGCCUUAACAAGCAGGUAGACGAUUGCAGCACACAAAUAGGUAACUUUUUCAAAUAUUCUGAUGUCCAUUUCCAAAAGCAGAGCUUAUAUUAAAAGCAAAACUCAUCUCUGAUGAUGCUUCUCCGUUGUUAUGUCUACAGAGGAAGAAAUCAAUCGAAAGCUUAGAAACAUUAACACAGGCACCCAUCAAGACAACCAAGACGUACUCCACCUACUUUUUUCUCUACAAGAUGAUUUGCCACUUCAACAAUACUCCAGACAAGUACAAAGAACUAUCCUUUUUCUUUUUUCAUGUUCCUUUCUUGUUUCUUUCUUUUUCCUGUCUCUUCUAUUACUUUACAUAAAAAUGAGGUACAAAGAAUGUUCUUUAUCAUCCAACGACAGAUAG
This 952-nucleotide long non-coding RNA is filed under the name Capsella grandiflora. Its description in RNAcentral is "long non-coding RNA (CGRA_LNC000740)". The record is from RNAcentral. Lineage: Eukaryota; Viridiplantae; Streptophyta; Magnoliopsida; Brassicales; Brassicaceae.